Molecule: ribosomal RNA, 377 nt
Filed under: uncultured bacterium
Lineage: Bacteria
Description: bacterial SSU rRNA
Rfam family: Bacterial small subunit ribosomal RNA
Source: RNAcentral
AUACGUAGGUGGCGAGCGUUGUCCGGAAUUACUGGGUGUAAAGGGCGCGUAGGCGGGGUGGUAAGUCAGAUGUGAAAUACCAGGGCUUAACUCUGGGGCUGCAUCUGAAACUACGAUUCUUGAGUGCCGGAGAGGGAAGCGGAAUUCCCAGUGUAGCGGUGAAAUGCGUAGAUAUUGGGAGGAACACCGGUGGCGAAGGCGGCUUUCUGGACGGUAACUGACGCUGAGGCGCGAAAGCGUGGGGAGCAAACAGGAUUAGAUACCCUGGUAGUCCACGCUGUAAACGAUGGAUACUAGGUGUAGGAGGUAUCGACUCCUUCUGUGCCGGAGUUAACACAAUAAGUAUCCCACCUGGGGAGUACGGCCGCAAGGUUGAA